GAACGAGUUGGAAAGCUCAGCCGGAGACUGUGAUAGCCAGGUAUGCGAAAACGACGCUGACCUUAUUCUGUAUUCUCGAGUAGGUCGGGGCACGAGAAACCCUGAUUGAAUCCGGCUGGACCACCAGCCAAGGCUAAAUAUAGUAUAUGAUCGAUAGUGAACUAGUACGGUGACGGAAAGGUGAAAAGAACCCCGGGAGGGGAGUGAAAUAGAACCUGAAAUUUUGUGCCUACAAGGAGUCGGAGCCCAGCACCUUUGAAAUCGAGUGGUACAAUGUAGGCGGAUGUUCUACGUGUACGUUUUGCAAAGUGAUCGGGAAUCAGAUCAAAUUUACUUCGGUCAGACUAGUGACUUAAGACGACGUCUCUCGGAGCAUAAUUCUGGCAAGAAUACUUAUACCAAGAUAUAUGCGCCAUGGAAGGUUGUCUACUAUGAAGCCUAUUCAUCACGUAAGCUAGCGAUGGCCCGUGAGAGGCAGUUGAAAGCUUAUGGACAAGCCAGGACUGCUCUGAAGAAGAGACUAAAUUUGAUCUGAUACUCGAUUUCAAAGGUGCUGGGUGACGGCGUGCUUUUUGUAGAACGAUCCAGCGAGUUAAUUUUUACGGCGAGGUUAAGUCAGAUGAUGAAGCCAUAGUGAAAGCGAGCAUUAACAGUGCGAUUUAGUCGUAAGGAUUAGACCCGAAACCAGGUGACCUAACCAUGAGCAGGUUGAAGCAACCUUAAUCGGUUGUGGAGGACCGAACCAGUGUAUGUUACAAAAUGCUUGGAUGACUUGUGGUUAGCGGUGAAAUGCCAAUCGAACUUGGAGAUAGCUGGUUCUCCGCGAAAUAGUUAUAGGACUAGCGUCGUGUGAUAGCUUACGGGGGUAGAGCUCUGUCAAGAGAUAGGGGGAGCAAUCCUACCUACUCUUAAUAAACUACGAAUACCGUAUGUCUGUAUCACGGCAGUUAGAACGUCGGUGCUAAGAUCGGCGCUCAAAAGGGAAACAGCCCAGACCAUCAUCUAAGGUCCCCAAAUUUACGCUAAGUGGGAAACAAGGUGGAAUUUCUUAAACAGCUAGGAUGUUGGCUUAGAAGCAGCCAUUCAUUUAAAGAGUGCGUAACAGCUCACUAGUCAAGAGAUUUUGCGUGGAAAAUGUAACGGGGCUAAAGUGUUAAACCGAAGACAUGGACUUCUGCUUUUGCAGGAGUGGUAGAGGAGCGUUGAUAUCGCAGUGAAGUCAGACUGGAAAGUCUGGUGGAGCGUUAUCAAGUGAGAAUGCUGGAAUCAGUAACCUUAAGGCAGGUGAGAAUCCUGCCGGUCGUAAGAGCAAGGUUUCCAGGGCUACAGUAAUUGUCCCUGGGUUAGUCGGUCCUAAGCCGAGGCGUAUCAGCGUAGGCGAUGGACAACAGGUUAAUAUUCCUGUACAGGUAGUAGUUGUGAACAGUUCACGGUGAAUGACUGGAGCGGAUUAAUGGUUUAUCCGUCCAAGUCUUUAGGGAACUAAAGAUGAGUGAAAGGUAAUCUUUGGAUUAUUAAUUCCGGGUGAAGUGCUGGCUAGAAAAGCUGAUUCACUUAUGCUGCUGCCUACCGUACCGCAAACCAACACCGGUGCUCGGGUCGAGUAGACCAAGACCUACGUGAGAACCUUCGCUAAGGAACUCGGCAAAAAAGCGUCCGUAACUUCGGAAUAAGGACUGCCCUCUCAUUAAGAUGAGGAUUUGCUAGAAACUCAGCAGAAGAUUCAGAUUACCUUUUAACUGAAUUUUUCGUUGAGACAGAACACAAAACAGGAUUUGUUUAACAAAUUCGUGUCUUUUCUAGUAGUCUAAUCGUCAUUUUGAUGAGAGGGCCGCAGCUAAAGAGCCCACGGAACUGUUUACCAAAAACAUAGGUCUCUGCUAACGCGAAAGCGGAUGUAUAGGGGCUGACUCCUGCCCGGUGUCGGAAGGUUAAGGGGAGAGCUUUACGGUUCGAACUGAAGCCCCGAUGAACGGCGGCGAUAACUAUGAUCGUCCUAAGGUAGCGAAAUUCCUUGUCUGGUAAGUUCAGACCCGCACGAAUGGAGUAAUCAUGUGGGCACUGUCUCGGCGAAGGCCACGGUGAACGUGCAUUGGCGGUAAAGAUGCCGUCUGAUCAUGCCAGGACGAGAAGACCCCAUGGAGCUUUACUACAACUUUGCAUUGAUUAUUGGGACAUUUUGUGUAGAAUAGGUGGAAGACUUUGAAGCAGAUACGCUAGUAUUUGUGGAGUCGAAAUGUGAAAUACCACCCUGAAUGUUUUAGUAAUCUCACUUUUGACCUGAUCGGCCAAAAGGACCGUGCAUGGCGGGUAGUUUAACUGGGGCGGUUGCCUCCUAAAGAGUAGCGGAGGCGUUCAAAGGUUGGCUAACUUCGGAUGGAAAUCGAAGUGAUAGUGUAUGCGCACAAGCCAGCUUGACUGUGAGGAGUACAUUCCAAUCAGAGACGAAAGUCGGAGCAAGUGAUCCGCUGUACGUACAUUUGUACAUGAAUGUGGGAUCGACAGCGCAAACGGAUAAAAGUUACCCUGGGGAUAACAGGCUUAUAGCGCCCAAUAGUUCACAUAGACGGCGCUGUUUGGCACCUCGAUGUCGGCUCAUCACAUCCUGGAGGGGGAGCACCUUCCAAGGGUUCGGCUGUUCGCCGAUUAAAGUGGUACGCGAGCUGGGUUCAGAACGUCGUGAGACAGUUCGGUUUAUAUCCGGUAUGGACGAUAGGAAACUUGAGAAGAUCUACCCCUAGUACGAGAGGACCGGGGCGGACGAACCUCUGGUGUAUCGAUUGUGGCCACCUGCUGCAUUGUCGAGUAGCUAUGUUCGGAAGGGAUAAGCGCUGAAAGCAUAUUAAGCGCGAAGCCCACUUCAAGAUUAGGUUUCCCUAUGAGGACACUGAAAGACUAUCAGUUUGAUAGGCGCAAGGUGGAAGUAUAGUAAUAUAUGGAGCUGAAGCGUACUAAUAGUCCCAUCGCCUUUUUA
Molecule: ribosomal RNA, 2974 nt
Filed under: human oral metagenome
Description: bacterial LSU rRNA
Rfam family: Bacterial large subunit ribosomal RNA
Source: RNAcentral